Molecule: ribosomal RNA, 497 nt
Filed under: uncultured bacterium
Lineage: Bacteria
Description: partial 16S ribosomal RNA
Rfam family: Bacterial small subunit ribosomal RNA
Source: RNAcentral
GGGGGGGGGGGGGGGGGGGGGGGGGGGGUGCGAGGCGGGCGAGCGGACGAGGAGCUGGCGCCUCUGACGUUAGCGGCGGACGGGGGAGUAACACGUGGAGAACCUACCUAUAAGACUGGGAUAACUUCGGGAAACCGGCGCUAAUACCGGAUAAUAUAUUGAACCGCAUGGUUCAAUAGUGAAAGACGGUUUUGCUGUCACUUAUAGAUGGAUCCGCGCCGCAUUAGCUAGUUGGUAAGGUAACGGCUUACCAAGGCGACGAUGCGUAGCCGACCUGAGAGGGUGAUCGGCCACACUGGAACUGAGACACGGUCCAGACUCCUACGGGAGGCAGCAGUAGGGAAUCUUCCGCAAUGGGCGAAAGCCUGACGGAGCAACGCCGCGUGAGUGAUGAAGGUCUUCGGAUCGUAAAACUCUGUUAUUAGGGAAGAACAAAUGUGUAAGUAACUAUGCACGUCUUGACGGUACCUAAUCAGAAAGCCACGGCUAACUACGUG